RNAcentral lists this ribosomal RNA (292 nucleotides) under uncultured prokaryote. Its description in RNAcentral is "partial 16S ribosomal RNA". It matches the Rfam family "Bacterial small subunit ribosomal RNA", at positions 505 to 796 of the family's 1533-position model. The record is from RNAcentral.
GUGCCAGCAGCCGCGGUAAUACGCAAGGUGCGAGCGAUAAUCGGAAUAACUGGGCGUAAAGCGCGCGUAGGCGGUUUGUUAAGUCAGAUGUGAAAGCCCCGGGCUCAACCUGGGAACUGCAUUUGAUACUGGCAGACUAGAGUUUGGUAGAGGGUAGUGGAAUUCCAGGUGUAGCGGUGAAAUGCGUAGAUAUCUGGAGGAACAUCAGUGGCGAAGGCGGCUACCUGGACCAAAACUGACGCUGAGGUGCGAAAGCGUGGGGAGCAAACAGGAUUAGAAUCCCCAGUAGUCC